GUAGAAGAACAGAUGGUUAGAGGC
This 24-nucleotide non-coding RNA is filed under the name Cricetulus griseus (Chinese hamster). The record is from RNAcentral. Lineage: Eukaryota; Metazoa; Chordata; Mammalia; Rodentia; Cricetidae.